CUCCAUCAAAUUAAUAUACUGGACCCCCUCCCCCAAGCCCCUCUUCUCCUACCUUACAAUUUGUUGUCCAUCCUCCGGUUCCAGCUCCAUCCCUGCUGAAGCAGGCCAGACACUCCUCUAGCACUGGGAGCAGGAGGGAAGGGGCAGUGGCUGUUCUAGUCUGCUCUGCAGACACACAGCCACUCUGCCCUCUUGUGGCAAGGAGAGCAAGAAUCAGGAAAUACUUUUCCUAUCUUGCUGGUUGCAGCAACAGCUGAAAGCAACCCCAGGGCGGGCGGGCCGCAUGUUUGACAUGCUUGCUGUACAUAUUUAGACAAACUGGUAGAAAAUAAAAGGAGAUCUCUGCACAUGACCGUAAAACUUAGUAUUACUAACAGUAAUCAAAAGUGAGAUGGCCUGAGGGGCGGGGCCUGACCACCAUGCUGACCGGUCGCAUGCUACUGAGGCUCCUGCUGAAUCCUACUUAAAACGGAAGAAAUAAUGAACUCACUGAAGAUAAUCGUGAGGAGAAGUCCACUACUGUGCACAGGAGUUGGGGGCGCUACCACGGACUACGAGAUCGGGAGUUUUGGGGCCCCUGCGGUACAAAACUUCUGAGCCUGCGGCCUACUUAGGUGAGACACGGGGCAGACAACCGCUGACCUGCUCGCAAGCCUAGCUGCCAUACCAAG
Pelobates cultripes (western spadefoot toad) is the source of this 671-nucleotide non-coding RNA. Lineage: Eukaryota; Metazoa; Chordata; Amphibia; Anura; Pelobatidae. The record is from the annotation of a GenBank genome assembly.